GAUGAACGCUGGCGGCGUGCCUAAUACAUGCAAGUCGAGCGAACAGACGAGGAGCUUGCUCCUCUGACGUUAGCGGCGGACGGGUGAGUAACACGUGGAUAACCUACCUAUAAGACUGGGAUAACUUCGGGAAACCGGAGCUAAUACCGGAUAAUAUAUUGAACCGCAUGGUUCAAUAGUGAAAGACGGUUUUGCUGUCACUUAUAGAUGGAUCCGCGCCGCAUUAGCUAGUUGGUAAGGUAACGGCUUACCAAGGCAACGAUGCGUAGCCGACCUGAGAGGGGGGUGGGCCCCCCUGGAACUGAGACACGGUCCCGACCCCGACGGGGGGCAGCAGUAGGGAAUCUUCCGCAAUGGGCGAAAGCUUGACGGAGCAACGCCGCGUGAGUGAUGGAGGUCUUCGGAUCGUAAAACUCUGUUAUUAGGGAAGAACAAAUGUGUAAGUAACUAUGCACGUCUUGACGGUACCUAAUCAGAAAGCCACGGCUAACUACGUG
Molecule: ribosomal RNA, 497 nt
Filed under: uncultured bacterium
Lineage: Bacteria
Description: partial 16S ribosomal RNA
Rfam family: Bacterial small subunit ribosomal RNA
Source: RNAcentral